Labeo rohita (rohu) is the source of this 393-nucleotide non-coding RNA. NCBI's taxonomy places the organism in Eukaryota, Metazoa, Chordata, Actinopteri, Cypriniformes, Cyprinidae. The record is from the annotation of a RefSeq genome assembly.
AUGGAUCUUCAUUCAGUUAUUUUGCUCUGUGUCUUAGCUGCUGCUGUCUUUGGAAAUAUCAUCAAACCAGACCAAACACAUGUUGUUCAUGAGGAGGGCUCAGAUAUUACAUUAUCCUGUAGUUUUUCUGACUCUGGAUUUUCAGAAAAUCUCCACUGGUACCGUCAGUAUGGAAGAUCAAAACCUGAAUUUCUUGUACUCACCAUCGACUCUGCAACAGAAGCUCAGCAGUCUGUUAUAGAUCCAAGAUUCACUGUUAAUAUUACAAAAAAGGAACAAGUGGAUCUGAAGAUCUCCUCUGCUGCUGUAUCAGACUCUGCUCUGUACUACUGUGCUCUGCAGCCCACAAUGACAGCAAACACAUCAGCUCUCUACAAAAACCUGUUACAGUAA